GGUGGGGUGGCCGAGGUAGGCGGCAAGUUGUAGCCUUGUUCACGGGGCAGUGACCCCCCCCAUCA
This 65-nucleotide transfer RNA is filed under the name Stenodactylus doriae. RNAcentral's name for it is "tRNA-Tyr". The record is from RNAcentral. Lineage: Eukaryota; Metazoa; Chordata; Lepidosauria; Squamata; Gekkonidae.